UUGUACNGUUAGUGGCGAAAGGGUUAGUAACGGGUAGGUAACGUACCCUGUGCUUUGGGAUAGCGUCAGUUGCUUCGGCAACUUUCCGAAAGGGGCGGUAAUACCAAAUAAUAUCAUUUGUCGAUAGGCGAAUGAUCAAAGAUUUAUCGGCACGGGANCGGCCUGCCUCCUAUCAGCUUGUUGGUGAGGUAAAGGCUCACCAAGGCAACGACGGGUAGCGGGACUNNCANGUUGGCCCNCAACAUCGGGACUGANACACUGCCCGGACCUCCACGGAGGGCUGCANUANCGGAUAUUGNGCAAUGGCNAAANCCUNACCA
This 320-nucleotide ribosomal RNA is filed under the name uncultured bacterium. Its description in RNAcentral is "partial 16S ribosomal RNA". It matches the Rfam family "Bacterial small subunit ribosomal RNA", at positions 84 to 390 of the family's 1533-position model. The record is from RNAcentral.